Long non-coding RNA from Pantherophis guttatus, 366 nucleotides. RefSeq lists it as uncharacterized. The record is from RefSeq and is a predicted model, not a curated record. NCBI's taxonomy places the organism in Eukaryota, Metazoa, Chordata, Lepidosauria, Squamata, Colubridae.
GCUGGCAAGAAAAAGAUCCUCCUUGAACUCCUUUCUCAUCAAGUGUGCUGCUUCAUGAAAUAAAGGUCACAGAGUGAGCAGAUAAGAGGCUGAUUGUUAGUCCAAAGUCUUGGCAGGCCUUGCUAAAUCUGUCCAUAAGUUGUUGAAGGUCUUCAACAGAGUGAGCAGUGACGGCAGCAUCAUCAGCGAAGAGGAAAUCCCAUAAGCAUUUCAGUUGGACUUUAGACUUUGCUCUCAAUCUAGAGAGAUUAAAGAGUUUUCCGUCUGAUCUGGUCCAGAGGUAAAUACCCUCUGUUGCAGUUCCAAAAGCAUGUUUCAGCAUGACAGCAAAAAAAAGAUCCCAAAUAAAGUUGGUGCGAGAACACA